AGUCGGAUGCUUAACUGACUGAGCCACCCAGGUGCCCCAAGGGCUAGGUCUUCUCCGGAGAUCCUAAGCUCUCUCUCACCAAAGUGUCCAAGACAAGGCACACAUGCCACGUUCUUGGAUGUUACAAAGGGAAUUCAAGGCACUAUGGACAAGCACUGACUUCUGAUUCGCAUUUCAGAUCUCUUAUUCUCGGCAUCUCCAAGCUUUUGGUUCUCCAACUCACACGCCUUAUGUCUACAUAACCGAAGCUUAACUUCACAGAACUAUGGGCGGUGGCAGGGAGGCAGGCUGAUCUAGAAGUUAAAGUGUCUGACUUUGGAAACACACCUUGCGGCAACAGUAAGGAAAUUGCAUCACUCCUCUUGGGUUUUCUUUGCUUAGGUUGACAAGAGGCGAACAUGCUCUACUCUACCUCCCUGCCCCCACCCGUCCUAUCCAGGUAAGGUGGGAGAACGUUCUGGUAAUGAAGGGUUGGCUGACUACUGUGAUGAGUGUAGGUGUACAUGCUAGGGAGCAGGUCCACUAUGUGGAGGGAGAAGACAUCGAGUCUCCAUCCGAGAAAAGGCAGAAGGGAAGAAGAAGGAGCUGGGAAGCACGCUGACACAGGAAGAAGGAUUCUUCCAAAGCACUGAGUGGAGAACAGGAAGGAGCCAACGUGAGAGAGAGGACUCGCCUGAUGGGAAGGCAUCGAUCAAUUUUUGGGAGGUGGCCAUGUUCCACAUCGACCUUGGCAUCGGACGAAACAGAGAGACCAUCGGGGGCAAGCUGACUUCUGUGUUCCAUCUGUCAGAGGAAUAAAGUGGCCGGUAUCUCACCGGAUGCAGAGAGCAUCUAACACCCAGCAGGCCCUUGCAGAGCUCUCUGCUUGAGGCUGCCAGCCUCACAGGCUAUCAUGUCCUCCAAAGCGUCUUUGCUCCAAUAUGUGGGCCAAUUCUGGAUUAAACACCCUGGAAGACCUAACUUGAAUAGUUAGCAUAUGCCUGGGUUGGACUAUGAGAAAAAUAAUGGAUAGCAUAUAUAACAAGCACGUGCCGUGUUUCAGGACUGUCCUCAGACCUUCACGUGUAUGAAAUCAUUUCCACGCAGUUCCGUGAGGCAGGUGAGAGUCUUCUGUAGCUUUUUUUCUGCGCCAUUCUUGCUACCAAGUUUAUGCUGGCUUCAAAGGAUGAAGGAAGAAGGGUUUCACCUUUGCCUAUGUUCUGGAACAAAUUAUAUGGCAUUGGAAUGACCUCUUUGUUCCUUGUGAAAAACUGGCUUUGAAAUUGGGCUGCUGAAUCUUCCUCGGAGAUGAUGGUUUUGAAUAUCGUUCUCUAAGAAACUUGUUCUGUGUUAGCCCUCUGCUACCCCGGCCUAUCUGAUACUUCCCAGAAUAUUAACAUUUUUGUUGAGAUAUAAGUUAGGGGUGUGGGUUUGUCCAGUAGACUGUGUAUUUUUUAAAUAGUCUCAUGCAAACCGUGUAGCUGAAAGUUAGGAUCCAGAAUAUAUAAGGAACUCCUACACCUCACCAGCAUAAAGCCCAACCCAAUUAAAAAAUGGGCAGAAGAACUGAAUAGGCAGUUCUCCAGGGAAGGCAUUCAAAUGGCCAAUGGGUACGUGAAAAGGCACUCAACAUCGCUAAUCUUCAGGGAACUGGAAAACAAAACCACAAUGUGAUAUCAUCUCACACCGAUGAGGACGACUAUGAUCCACAUGAGCAGAAGAAGAUAACAGGCACUGGGGAAAAUGUGGAGAAAAGGGACCCCUCAUGCACUGUUGGUGGGAAUGUAAAUUGGUGCAGCCACAGUAGAAAACAGUGCGGAGUUUUCUCAAAAUAUUAAAGAUAGAACUACUGUGCGAUCCAGCAAUCCCACUUUGGGGCAUAUAACCAAAGAAGUUGAAAUCAAGAUCUCAAAGAGAUAGCUGACUUUCCAUGUCCCGGCACCAUUAUUCACUAUAUCCAAGACAUGGCUGCAAUCGAAACGUCCAGCAGAGGGUGAAUGGAUAAAGAAUAUGUGAUGCUUACAUAUAUUGGAAUAUUAUUCAGCCUUAAGGAAAGAUACCACUUAACUGUGGAAUCUAAAAUAAUCAAACUCAUAAAAACAAAGAGUAGAAUGAAAGUGGCCAAGGGGUGGGGGAUGGGACCCAGGGGGUUGUUGGUCAAAGGGUACUAAGCUUCCGUUAUGCAAAAUUAAUAAGUCCAGAGAUGUACUGUAUAUAGUAUAUAUAAGUAUAGUGCCUUAUAUAUAGUAUAAGUAUAUACUAUAAGUAUACUUAUAUACUAUAUAUAUAUAAGAAUAGUGCCUAUAGUUCACAACACUACAUUGUAUACUUAAAUAUUUGCAGAGAGCAUAGAUCUUAUGUGCAGUGUUCUUAUCACACACACAUGCACACAAAUAACGGAGAGGGCUGAGGGAAACUUUUGGAGGCGAUGGGUUUAUGGCAUAGAUUUUGGUGGUGAUUUCAUGGAUGUAUAUUUCAAGUUCAUCAGGUUGUAUAAAUUAGAUACUUAUCAUUUUCUGUAUGUCAGUCAUUCCUUAAUAAAAUGAUUUUUA
Hyaena hyaena (striped hyena) is the source of this 2531-nucleotide long non-coding RNA. RefSeq lists it as uncharacterized. The record is from RefSeq and is a predicted model, not a curated record. The transcript has 5 exons. NCBI's taxonomy places the organism in Eukaryota, Metazoa, Chordata, Mammalia, Carnivora, Hyaenidae.